RNAcentral lists this long non-coding RNA (5184 nucleotides) under Solanum tuberosum (potato). RNAcentral describes it as "long non-coding RNA (STUB_LNC001875)". The record is from RNAcentral. Lineage: Eukaryota; Viridiplantae; Streptophyta; Magnoliopsida; Solanales; Solanaceae.
GAAAAAACAAUCAAAAUAAUAUACUAACUGUGGCAAGCAAGAGAGCAAUCUAUUUGGUUCUUUUAACAAACAUCAUCAUUGGUUCCAUAUUAGUAAUCACAUAUUUAUUGUUGUAUGCUAUCAAAUAUAACACAAUCCACAAGCAAGUUUCCCAAAAAGUAUAUGAAGAAACCUGUAAAAAGGGACAAAAGAGAAGAUAAAUUUUCAAUCAUCUUCAUUGGAAAUUUUAACAGAGUUAAAAAAAAAAUACAAAAAUAGCAAAAAGAAAUUGCAAGGGAUACAUGAAUCACUAUGACUUACGGUAAAAGAUUAAUAUUCAUAAAAUAGGAGGAAGAAAGCUUUGAGAAAUGGAACACACUUCAUAAGAAGCUUAAUAAAUGUAUAUGUAUUUGACUGUCUUAAUGCAAAAAAUCCUACAAAUAAUAGUGGCAGAAAUAAAAGAUUUGUUUUCUAAAGAACCAAAUGUAAUGAAUUCAACCAUUUCAAAAGCGUUAUGAGUUGUGGGCGGAGAGGUGCAAGAAUAGUAAUGUUGCAGUGCAAUUAAAAUCAAUUUUCAUUGUUUAUAUGAAGAAACUUGUAGAAAGGGACAAAAGAGAAUAUCAAUUUUCAAUCAUCCUUGCUGAUAUUUUUUAACAGAGGUAGACGAAAGUCACCAAGAUAGAAAAAAGGUAUUGUCAUUGUUACAUGAAUCACUAUGAUUUAUAGAAAAGAUUAAACUCCAUGAAAUUGGAGGAAGAAAACUUUGAAGAAUGAAACAAACUACAUAAGAAGCUUAAUUAAUGAAUUUGAAUUUGACUACCCUAUAGCGGAAAAAAAAACACCUACAAAUAAUAGUGACAGGAAGUCCCUCUAUUUAUAGACAACAAAUGGUAGUGUGAACAAAUUUUUAUUGUGCCUUGUCGAAAGGGUCACAACUCAUUGGAAAAGUUACAACUUUUUGGAAAGGUCACAGCGUUCCAUAAAAAUCAUAUUUUUUCAUAAAAGUUGCAACUCUUCAUAAAAGUUACCAAGUUCAAAAAAAAAAGUUACUACUUUUCAUACAAGUUACAAUUUUUCAGAAAAGUCGUAAUUUUUCAUAAAAGUCACUACUUUUCAUACAAGUUACAACUUUUCAGAAAAGUCGUAACUUUUCAUAAAAGUCACUAUUUUUCAUUAAAGUCAUAACUUUUCAUGAAAGAGGAAUACUAGUUUUGUAAAUAAAUAAAUUAAAAGGGAAUUAAUGAAAGGGGAAGGUUAGUUUUGUAAAUAAAUAAAGUAAAAGGGAAUUCUUGUUUGUGGUGGUGCCACACAAUCCACAAGCAAUUUUCCCAAAAAGUAUAUGAAGAAACCUGUAAAAAGGGACAAAAGAGAAGAUAAAUUUUCAAUCAUCAUCACUGGAAUUUUUAAUAGAGUUCAAAAAAAAAAGUUACAAAAAUAGAAAAAAGAAAUUGCAAGGGAUACAUGAAUCACUAUGACUUACGGUAAAAGAUUAAGCUUCAUAAAAUAGGAGGAAGAGAGCUUUGAGAAAUGGAACACACUUCAUAAGAAUAAGAAGCUUAAUAAAUGUAUAUGUAUUUGACUGUCUUAAUGCAAAAAAUCCUACAAAUAAUAGUGGCAGAAAUAAAAGAUUUGUUUUCUAAAGAACCAAAUGUAAUGAAUUCAACCAUUUCAAAAGUGUUAAGUGUUGUGGGCGGGGAGGUGCAAGAGUAGUAAUGUCGCAUUGCAAUUAAAAUCAAUUUUCAUUGUUUAUAUGAAGAAACUUGUAGAAAGGGACAAAAGAGAAGAUCAAUUUUCAAUCAUCCUUGCUGAUAUUUUUUAACAGAGGUAGACGAAAGUCACCAAGAUAGAAAAAAGGUAUUGUCAUUGUUACAUGAAUCACUAUAACUUGUAGUAAAGAUUAAACUCCAUGAAAUUGGAGGAAGAAAACUUUGAAGAAUGAAACAAACUUCAUAAGAAGCUUAAUUAAUGAAUUUGAAUUUGACUACCCUAUAGCGGAAAAAAAAACACCUACAAAUAAUAGUGACAGGAAGUCCCUCUAUUUAUAGACAACAAAUGGUAGUGUGAACAAAUUCUUAUUGUGCCUUGUCGAAAGGGUCACAACUCAUUGGAAAAGUUACAACUCUUCGGAAAGGUCACAACGUUUCAUAAAAGUCAUAUUUUUUCAUAAAAGUUGCAACUCUUCAUAAAAGUCACUACUUUUCAUACAAGUUACAACUUUUCAGAAAAGUCGGAAAAUAAAUAAAUUAAAAGGGAAUCCUGAUUUGUGGUGGCGCCAUGUAGGUGGGCAUAGGGUUCUCUUUUAUAUAUAUAUAUAUAUAUAUAUAUAUAUGAUUAUAGUUAUUACUAGAGCAUUGAUUUAUCAUAUAUUACUAAAAGUGGGAAGCUUCUAACCUCAAAGUUGGAUUACCAUUUUGCCCCUAAAAUAAAAUACAAUAUUAUUAAAUAUCUAAUUAAUUAAAUAAUAAUAAUUAUUUUAAAAACUUUUCUCAUUCAAAAAUAACAUUAAUUCUCUACAUCACCAAUUAAUCAUUAUGUCGAGAAUGUGGAGAAGAUAGAAAGUUGAAAAAAGUAAUUUAAUGUUGACCAAAUUCAUUGGAUUAUAUAAAUUAAAUAAACAUAAUUCUUUGGCAAUUAAAAUGUUACCAAGAAUUAUUAAAUGAAUGUUUGAAUUUUGAAUAGCCUCUACUAUACAGAAUUAAAAAUUGAAUAUGAGGGGUCAAUUUCCAUGUAGAAAUUAGUUUCGGAUUUAAAAGGUCAUUAUCUAAUACUAUUUAAGAUGGAUGCUAAUCACAUUAAAUUGAAUGAAUUGCACAAUUCAACAUUAGAAGAAAAGAGAGUUGGAAGCUGAACAAAAAAGUGCCGGAAGCUGCUAAUCAAGAAGAAGAAACAAAAGCAGCAGAAAAAAGAAAAGUAGAUUGAAUACAGGAGUAGAAGAAACAAUAUAUAUGUUAAUAUGUUUGACGCCAACAAUAAGAAAGUUACUAUUUGUUAUUUAUUCAUCUGAACGUGGAAACUUGCUUAGCAAUAUAUAUCAUCAACUCCUCACACUUGCUUUCUUUUUUCUAUUACAAGAUUUUAAUCCUUUAUAAUUCAUUUGUUUCCGAUUUUCAACUCGAUAUAGUUACAAACUUUAAAUUUAGUUAUCAUCGUGAGCCUUUGGAACAAUAAAUAUGAAAUCAAAUUUGUCAUUCUUCUUCUUCUGCUUCCAUAUUUUGAUGUCAUUUGUCUUUUAAUAUUUUUGGAAACCUUAAGUGAUUUUUUAAAAUUCUUUUCGGGCAUUAUUUUACCCUUAAAUUGCAAAAGGUUUGUUUACAAGAUACAAAUGUGACCGGACAUUUUAGUCAACACAAUACUUUGAUGAAUUGAGUAAUACUAUUCUCUUUUUUUUUUUAGUAAAGAAUGAUAAUAUUCAUCUAUAAGAAAAUACAAAAUAGAAGUUUGUAUCAUAGAUGACUUGCUUUAUGGGUCACACAAAGCUUAUUAUUGGUCAUUAAUGAGUUUAAUAUCUAGGCUUUUAAUUUUAUUAUGUGGAAAAGUAUUAAUUAUAGAUCAAAGAAAGUUCUAAGAUAUGUGUGCACCAGUUAAAAUUUAAAAUUGGAUAUAAAUUUAUAUUAAAAUUUAGAAAUUCACAGUUGAAUUAUCAUUUUGAUUUCAAAGUUUGAUUACCAUUUUGCCUCUACUAUAAAUUAAAAUGUUAUAAUAAUAAUUUUAUUUUUAUUUACUUUUUCUUGCUCAUUUACUCUAUCUUUUACUAAAUAAAAUAAUAAUGAUUCCAUUUAUCCCAAAAUAAAGAGUACUCCACUCGCCAUUAUAUCUGCCAACACGAGUAAUUGACAUUUUCAAUAAGUUUUAUCUAAUAAAUAUUUGUAUUCGUAACCGACUUUUUAUGUAAUCUAUAAUUACAAUAUAUGUAUUAACCUCUCACAAUUGUAAUAAUUAUAAUAAUAAUAAUAAUAAAGUUCUUGUACUAAUAGCAUGAGAUACACCGGCAGCAUACAUGUUGAGUAUAUAUAUAUCGUUAUAACAACUCCACACAACUUAGUAUGGGACACACGUGCGUUGCACGUGUCCAGGACUAGUUAUAUUAAAAAGGUGAUAUAAUAACAUUUUCAUUUUAUUUAUUUCUUUGAAUGUGUCAUUUCAAUAACGAACAAGUAAACAGAAAGAGAGUAAUAAAUUUGUGUGAUAAUAAGGACAAAUUUAAAACUUAAUAAUUAACUUCUAAACUGGACAAAUAACUAUUUUUAGUAUAAUCAACCAACGAAAAUAAACGGAGGGAGUAUAAAUCAAUUAAAUGAAAUAGUACACUAGAAUAUUUUUCAUUCAUUUGAAUUUUUAUUUUUUUAAGUGUAUGGCAUCAAUUAACAGUUGUACAAUUCAAGUGGUGCAAAAAAAAAAACCCUACCCUUACCCCCCACCUCCCCAUGUCCCCCACCCCCAAACACCCCCACAAUACACACCCAUGGGGUACUUUUGAGCACUACAAAUUCAAGACCAAACCCCUCACUUUCUUUCAUUCUUUGUUUGUCCUUCACAAAAACAAAGAACAAGAAAAAAACUAAACUCUGGCAAAAAAAAAAAAUCAUAUUUCAAAAUUCUUUCUUCAUCUUCUAGAAUUCCACAAAAUUUCAACAUUUUUUCAUCUUUUUUACUAUCAUUUUUUAUUAUUCGACAUGUCAACUAUAGUUUAUCAAGAUUUCCAGUCAUAUCAUUGAAACAACUACUCUUAAGCUCAAAGUACCAACCCCAACUACUGUACUGGAAAAUAUGAAUACUACUAAUGAAAAAUGUUGGAGUUCCGUUCAAAAUCUCUCAUCCAUCAAUUAUAUAUUCGAAGGAAAUGGAUAACUCUUAUAAAAAAUGAACUCCAACAGUGUAAUAGUGAGGCAAACCUCAAUGAGGAGGUCAAGUUACUAAAGGGGUUUAUGUAAUGUAAAACUCAUGAAAUAUAAGAGGGUGACAAAAGUUGGUUAAGGAAGAACUUGUAGGCUUCUAGGGUGGUAAACUUUCAAAUAUGCAUGACAUUUUAGGCUAAUCUCAUAUCAAAAAAUGAGAGAAACAUCAGAACAUUAUACUCACGCUACAAGACUAAAAAUAAUACACAAGUGCGUGGGUACAUACAUACAUUUAUCUCACCGAAGAUGCAAACCUUGAUCUAUUUUUGCAUCAAUUUAGAACUGGCACUACAAGAAAAGUGUGAAUUAC